Long non-coding RNA from Xenopus laevis (African clawed frog), 454 nucleotides. RefSeq lists it as uncharacterized. Lineage: Eukaryota; Metazoa; Chordata; Amphibia; Anura; Pipidae. The record is from RefSeq and is a predicted model, not a curated record. The transcript is spliced from 2 exons.
UGCCCCUUCUUCCCACCUGUCAACUGGAUUUCCUUGAAAAACAAAAGAAGGCAACAAGAAAGGAACACAGAGUGCGAAGCGGCAGUUUUUGCCCGCCUGGAAAAUCCGUCUGCGACCGCUGAUCUCGCCGUGCACACGGUCAUUUCCUGAGGCAAAAUGAAGCGGAUCCAGUCUUAUGCCAGAGAUGGAAUGGAAAUCAUAAUGGAAGAGCAUUCAGACCUCUUGGGAGAGGACAACAUUACUAACGUGUCCACUAAAUAUGUGGGAGGAUGUUGAAAAGGGUCCCAACAGGCCCUGACAACCUAAGAUUCCUGGGCAAUAUUGCUAGUGAAUGAUCAAGAAUUCUUUAAAAGCUUAAGCCCCAAAGAACGGAAGAAGGCUGCCUGCAUCCUAAAGAACUCCAGUAGUUCAAGCAUAGCUGGUUGAAAAGUGAUUAAAGAUUUGCUUAACACCA